GUUACGUCAUGUACAUCCAUUGUGUAGCCUACAAAAUAGCCUACGUGACGUAUUACGGUAAGGACGAGUUCGGUUUCCUAUAUCAUCCAUUAUCAUUAAUUGACAUCCGACCACAGAAAAUUGUUUUACAAAUUCAACACAGAGAUGGAUGAAGAAAAAGUAAGUGCCUUAUGUCGCUUAUUGAAAGCUAUGGUUAUAUUUCAAAAUAUUUCUUACUUUGCCUAAUGCAAAAUAUUGUCAAAACCUUGUAUUUUGCUACCAUCCAGAUCAGAACGGACAGAUAGUGCUAUCCCCAUGUCACCCCCCCCCCAGUUUGCCUUAAAGCUACAAUCUUUAUUUCGUUUUUUCACCCUUAUUCACCCAAACUGCAGCCCGCCACUUUUUGUUAUAGGCCUAUUACUGAAGGAUGGGGUUGCGCGAGAGACGACCGCUGUCCACUGCACUUUGGUGCUGAACGCCAGUUCGCGGUAUUCCGAUUCAGUCGCUGUCAAUUAAAAUUAUUCUUAAACUGAAUCUCCAAUCGCGUCUGUUUUCGUGUUGUUUACGUAGUCCUACUUUCACACCAUCGGGUUUUUUUUGCUGACAGCUGUGACAAAGUCGACACACGGUUUGCAGACGUAAAGAAUGGACUUGGAAGAUAGCCACCGGGAGAAAGGGAUGGAAGAGAAGCCAGAUGCUCAACUAAAGGAAGAGAAGAAGGUCACGUCUGGCAAGGAAUCAGCAGACCAAGGCACUGAAGAAGGUCCCUCAGUGGCAUUCUGUUCACCCCGAGCUCACUAUCCAGAUAAAUACCAAAACAGAGCGGCAGUAAUUCAACUCUUACAUGAGGAAUUACGCAAGAGUCUACUUUACCCAAGAGGACGUCUGCUUCCCAAUCAUCAUCAAUUUCAUGAGGUAUCUCACUGAUAGACAACCAAAACACACCUUGCCAAAAUGUGUAGGAAGAUAGCGAAAACAGUUUCCCACAUUGCGGUAGAGAUCCUCAUCCCGACCCUUGCACAAAUAUUAGCGCUUGAUGCCGCUGGAGAAGCUAGUUCCUCUCCCUCGCUGACUGGAUCAGAGUGCGCCAACAUUGCAGGAACGUGUGGUGAAAUUGAAUGAGGAAGGUCUACCUAAGAGGCCUGGCAGUGGAAGGUCUCUGUGCAGUCAACGCAUCAAGAGUCCCUACCCCUCAUCCUUUGAAUUUGAACAGAGGCUGGAAUUGAUCCGCGAACACAGGUACCACAACAGAGAAUUGAGGACGAGCAGCAGUGGCAGAUUUUAUUACAGCUCCCACACAUCCACUCCACGUUCUUCCACAAGGUAUGUUCACCAACCACACUUCAACUGUGUGCCUGACCUGACUGAUCUUAGCACCGUAUACAUACUGAACUCAAGCCAACUUUUUCACACAUUACACAGCAUAUGACACUUCUAAGAAUGAAAAGCUAAAGAAUGACUGUUUUUAUGGUAAAGUAAGAAGGCAGACAGCACAUCUUUAGAGAAAUAAAUAUUAAAAUUAUUGUGAUUUAGGU
Molecule: long non-coding RNA, 1514 nt
Filed under: Salmo trutta (river trout)
Lineage: Eukaryota; Metazoa; Chordata; Actinopteri; Salmoniformes; Salmonidae
Description: lncRNA (ENSSTUG00000032513.1)
Source: RNAcentral